This 520-nucleotide ribosomal RNA is filed under the name uncultured Glomus. Its description in RNAcentral is "SSU rRNA". It matches the Rfam family "Eukaryotic small subunit ribosomal RNA", at positions 569 to 1097 of the family's 1831-position model. Lineage: Eukaryota; Fungi; Glomeromycota; Glomeromycetes; Glomerales; Glomeraceae. The record is from RNAcentral.
AGCAGCCGCGGUAAUUCCAGCUCCAAUAGCGUAUAUUAAAGUUGUUGCAGUUAAAAAGCUCGUAGUUGAAUUUCGGGACUAAUAUGUCGGUCGUACUUUGUACGUACUAGCAUUAUUGGUUUCUCCCUUCUGACGAACCACGAUGUCAUUAAUUUGGUGUCAUGGGAAAUCAGGACUGUUACUUUGAAAAAUUAGAGUGUUUAAAGCAAGCUCGCGCUUGAAUACAUUAGCAUGGAAUAAUGAAAUAGGACGUUUGAUUCUAUUUUGUUGGUUUCUAGGAUCGACGUAAUGAUUAAUAGGGAUAGUUGGGGGCAUUAGUAUUCAAUUGCCAGAGGUGAAAUUCUUGGAUUUAUUGAAGACUAACUACUGCGAAAGCAUUUGCCAAGGAUGUUUUCAUUAAUCAAGAACGAAAGUUAGGGGAUCGAAGACGAUCAGAUACCGUCGUAGUCUUAACCAUAAACUAUGCCGACUAGGGAUCGGAUGAUGUAAUUUUUAAUGACUCAUUCGGCGCUUACGGAAA